RNAcentral lists this long non-coding RNA (703 nucleotides) under Onthophagus taurus. RNAcentral describes it as "uncharacterized LOC111427556, transcript variant X1". Lineage: Eukaryota; Metazoa; Arthropoda; Insecta; Coleoptera; Scarabaeidae. The record is from RNAcentral.
GUACAACUUCGAAACUUCGGUAUAUUUGGAGUGCCACGAUGAAAGGUUUAUUUAGGUAGCUCAGAAGCGUAUGUUUAUGUAAUUUGUUGUAUCUUGGGUUGGUUCAACCGUACACCUGCUGCAAUUUAUUAUUAAAACGCUGCGGGGUAUUUUAAUUAUUCUCGUCUAUGGUCUUUUAAGUGUAACCAAGAGAGUUUAUGUUCAAAGAGGUGGAAACGUGUUUGCUUCGGGCUUUUGCAAAACUUAAACCAAAAACAAAGAUUUUCUGGUUGGUGUUUUUGGUAAAUCAUCCAAAAUGUAGAUUCUUCCACGUAAAUGUUUCACUUUUGAAAUUCGUUUAGACACGUUUAAUCGAUACAGUAGUGUUGAGUUUUUGAGUGAACACGAGAUUGUGCAAGAACAGCUAUGUUUGUAUAAUUACAAAACUGGGAGAAAUAUUUCUUGGUCAACCAAAUCUAUUCGUGGAUGCAGGCGGUUGAUAAUCUUUUGUUGCUGCUAAUUCUGCUAAAUCAUAAACUUGAGAAUUUAAGAGAACUCAAGACCGAAAACCGUCUGCCUACUUGGUUUGGGAAAAUGUUGGUUGAAAAAACCUCUAGUCCAUAUUUCUUGAAUCUUUAGACUUUGGUAUUUCUACAGAUGGGGAGAUUGUCCGCCCAAAUAUCGAAACCUAACAAUUUUUUCACAAUAAAAUACAUGUUUUAUA